This 272-nucleotide long non-coding RNA is filed under the name Nicotiana benthamiana. RNAcentral's name for it is "long non-coding RNA (NBEN_LNC005684)". The record is from RNAcentral. Lineage: Eukaryota; Viridiplantae; Streptophyta; Magnoliopsida; Solanales; Solanaceae.
UUCCUUUUACUGUAUUUCAUCAUAUGGUUUUCUAGUGAUUUCCUUUACUGUGUUUUCUUUCAUCAUGCUUCCAUGAAAUGAUUAUGUUUUUUUGGAUCUUCCUGAGUUUACUUUGCCUGAUUUUGUAUGCUUCUGUCUUUACACUUAAUAUGUGAAGGAAACCCUAGAAUUUGGGGGUUUCCAAACCACUUAUGUGCGAUUGUGUUGUUUCCUGUUUGAUUUCAAAAACCCUAAUCUCUAAAUUCGUCUCAUGUUCUGUGAUUCUUGCUAAG